Molecule: ribosomal RNA, 1446 nt
Filed under: Pseudomonas sp.
Lineage: Bacteria; Pseudomonadati; Pseudomonadota; Gammaproteobacteria; Pseudomonadales; Pseudomonadaceae
Description: bacterial SSU rRNA
Rfam family: Bacterial small subunit ribosomal RNA
Source: RNAcentral
CGGCGGACGGGUGAGUAAUGCCUAGGAAUCUGCCUGGUAGUGGGGGACAACGUUUCGAAAGGAACGCUAAUACCGCAUACGUCCUACGGGAGAAAGCCAGGGGGACCUUCGGGGCCCUUGCGCUAUUUCAGAUAGAGCCCUAGGGUCGGGAUUAAGGCUAGUUGGUGAGGUAAUGGGCUUCCACCAAGGCGGAACGAUCCGUAAACUGGUCUGAGGAGGAUGAUCAGGUCACACUGGAACUGGAGACACCGGUCCAGGACUCCUACCGGGAGGCCAGCAGUGGGGAAUAUUGGACAAUGGGCGAAAGCCUGAUCCAGCCAUGCCGCGUGUGUGAAGAAGGUCCUUCGGAUUGUAAAAGCACUUUAAGUUGGGAGGAAGGGCAUUAACCUAAUACGUUAGUGUUUUGACGUUACCGACAGAAUAAGCACCGGCUAACUUCGUGCCAGCAGCCGCGGUAAUACGAAGGGUGCAAGCGUUAAUCGGAAUUACUGGGCGUAAAGCGCGCGUAGGUGGUUUGUUAAGUUGAAUGUGAAAGCCCCGGGCUCAACCUGGGAACUGCAUCCAAAACUGGCAAGCUAGAGUAUGGCAGAGGGUGGUGGAAUUUCCUGUGUAGCGGUGAAAUGCGUAGAUAUAGGAAGGAACACCAGUGGCGAAGGCGACCACCUGGGCUAAUACUGACACUGAGGUGCGAAAAGCGUGGGGGAGCAAACGGGAUUAGAUACCCUGGGUAGUCCACGCCGUAAAACGAUGUCCACUAGUCCUUUGGGAUCCUUGAGAAUCUUACUGGGCGCAACCUAACGCAUUAAAGUCCCACCGGCCUGGGGGAGUACGGGCCGCCAGGGUUUAAAACUCAAAUUGAAUUGGACGGGGGGCCCCGCCCCAAGCGAGUGGGAGUCAUGUUGGUUUUAAUUUCAAAAGCCAACGGAGAAAGAAACCUUUACCCAGGGCCUUGGACAUGGCAAUAGAAACUUUUCCAGAAGAUGGGAUUGGGUGCCCUUCCGGGAAACUCCUGACACAGGGUGGCUGGCAUGGGCUGGUCCUUCAGCCUCCGUGGUCGGUGAGAAUGUUUGGGGUUAAAGUUCCCCGUUAACGAAGCCGCAAACCCCUUUGGUCCUUUAGUUUACCCAACCACGGUUUAAAGGGUGGGGGCAACUCCUAAAGGGAAUAACUGGCCCGGGUUGAACAAAACCCGGGAAAGGAAAAGGUGGGGGGGAAGUGAACCUUUCAAGGUGCCUCCGGCUUGGGCUACACACGUGCUACAAUGGUCGGUACAAAGGGUUGCCAAGCCGCGAGGUGGAGCUAAUCCCAUAAAACCGAUCGUAGUCCGGAUCGCAGUCUGCAACUCGAAUGCGUGAAGUCGGAAUCGCUAGUAAUCGUGAAUCAGAAUGUCACGGUGAAUACGUUCCCGGGCCUUGUACACACCGCCCGUCACACCAUGGGAGUGGG